RNAcentral lists this ribosomal RNA (358 nucleotides) under Agriotes sp. CMB-2012. RNAcentral describes it as "partial 16S ribosomal RNA". Lineage: Eukaryota; Metazoa; Arthropoda; Insecta; Coleoptera; Elateridae. The record is from RNAcentral.
GCUGGAUGNNUGANUGGACGAGAAANCUACUGUCUCUUUAAAAAUUUUUAUUUAAUUUAACUUUUAAGUAAAAAGGCUUAAAUAUUUAUUAAAGACGAGAAGACCCUAUAGAGUUUUAUAUUUAUUUAGUAAUAAUUUAUUUGGAAUUUUUUAUUUUUUUAUUUUUUAGUUAUUUGGUUGGGGUGAUUAAAAGANUUGUUUAACUCUUUUAAUUUUAUUAUCAUUGAUUUGUGAAUUGUUUAUCUAGAUUUUUUAAAUUUAAGAUAAAUUACCUUAGGGAUAACAGCGUAAUUUCUUUUUAGAGUUCUUAUCAAUNAAGAAGUNUGCGACCUCNAUGUUGAUUUAAAUUGCCGCGGUA